UUACCGGGACCGACAGCAAUAUGAAGGCCAGGCUGAAGACUUUGCCGGAUUAGCUGAGAGGUGGUGCAUGGCCGUCGUCAGUUCGUACUGUGAAGCAUCCUGUUAAGUCAGGCAACGAGCGAGACCCACGCCCACAGUUGCCAGCGUACUCUCUGGAGUGACGGGUGCACUGUGGGACCGCCGCUGCUAAAGCGGAGGAAGGAAUGGGCAACGGUAGGUCAGUAUGCCCCGAAUAUCCCGGGCUACACGCGAGCUACAAUGGUUGGUACAAUGGGUAUCUACCCCGAAAGGGGACGGGAAUCUCCUAAAACCAAUCUUAGUUCGGAUUGAGGGCUGCAACUCGCCCUCAUGAAGCUGGAAUCCGUAGUAAUCGCGUUUCAACAGAACGCGGUGAAUACGUCCCUGCUCCUU
RNAcentral lists this ribosomal RNA (411 nucleotides) under uncultured Methanosaeta sp. RNAcentral describes it as "bacterial SSU rRNA". It matches the Rfam family "Archaeal small subunit ribosomal RNA", at positions 927 to 1338 of the family's 1478-position model. The record is from RNAcentral. Lineage: Archaea; Methanobacteriati; Methanobacteriota; Methanomicrobia; Methanotrichales; Methanotrichaceae.